AAGUCGUAACAAGGUUUCCGUAGGUGAACCUGCGGAAGGAUCAUUAAUGAAAUGCAAGGACGUUCUUUUUAGAAGUCCGACCCAAAUCAUAUUCUUACACUGUGCACAUACUACUUUUUACACCAUUUUUUAACGCAUAAGUCUAAGAAUGUAAACAGUCUCUUAGUUGAGCAUAAAUAAACAAA
This 185-nucleotide unclassified non-coding RNA is filed under the name plant metagenome. RNAcentral describes it as "partial contains small subunit ribosomal RNA and internal transcribed spacer 1". The stretch from base 1 to 46 matches the Rfam family "Eukaryotic small subunit ribosomal RNA", at positions 1786 to 1831 of the family's 1831-position model. The record is from RNAcentral.